RNAcentral lists this long non-coding RNA (1407 nucleotides) under Mus caroli (Ryukyu mouse). RNAcentral's name for it is "lncRNA (MGP_CAROLIEiJ_G0005264.1)". The record is from RNAcentral. Lineage: Eukaryota; Metazoa; Chordata; Mammalia; Rodentia; Muridae.
GGAAAGCUGCAGAAGUCACCAAAGGAAGCAGGCUAGCGAGCAAAAGUCACCCCCAAAAGAAGAGGAGGGUCUCCUCGGGGCUCGUUUGGGGCAGCUAGGCGAGGGCGGUGGCUGCACAGCCCGGCGGAGAUAAUCGUCAUCUGCAUCUGGAAGCACAUCGAUUACUGGGUUUCCACUCCACCCUGUUGACAGCGCUAUUUGUUUCAUUCUAUACAAGGAUGUCCCCUGCACAAAGCCAGGUGCCCAGAUUCUUAGAAUGUAAUGGUGGCCCACGCUAUUCCUUUCAUCUUCCUACCCGAAAACAGAUACUGAACUUCCUGUCUGAGCUAGGAUUUUACUGCUGUGAUAAACACUACGAACGAUCAAAAGUAACUUGGGGAGAAAAGAGUUUAUGGCAUUCUACAGCCUGCAGUCCGUUAUCCUGGAAAGUCAGGCCAAGAAUGCCAGGCAGGAACCUGGAAGCAAGAACUAAGUGGAAGCCAUAGAAGAAUGCUGCUUCCAGGCUUGUUCCCCAUGCCUUGCUCAGACUUGCUUCUUUCUUCUACAACCUGGAUGUCUGUGAGGGUUACAUAGUAAAUUUUAAUCAAAGCAACACAAACAAAUGGUCACAAAAUAAAUCAUGCAAAAAUAUUUCCUUAAGAAACAACUGAACCCAGCUCCAUGGUGAUUGAACCCAACGUCAUUCCCCAAAGGCAUCUUUCUUUUAUUGUGUAAAUGGAGAGAGAAAUGAUGUAGUGUGAAAUGUACCUAUUUUAAGGGUAUUGUUGUGUGGACUGUGAUGUCGGCGCAGAGUCCUGUCACUCUCUCUGUUAAAAUGGAGCGUACUUGCAUCACUGAGAGAAGAUGGCUCAUGUGAUGACUCAGCUAAUUUUCUCACCCCUAUCCAGGAGGCACAUUAUGUAUGUAGUGUUGCAUGCUAGGCUAGCUUGCCUCUGGUAGAACAUAUAAACAUAUGAGUUUAAUCAUACUGUAUGUUCUCUUAGUUUCUUUCAUAUAGCAUGGAAUUGCAACUAUUUCUUAUUGGAGUCAUUUUCAGUUUGCUCCUCAUUACAGUAUUUAGUUUCCUGUUUUGCUUAGUAAUUAUACUGUGGGAACAUUUCAAUUAGUGCCUAUUCAUAUUAUAAUUUCUCUAUUUGCUUGAUGAUAGACAUGUAAGUUUUUCCCUGUUUAGCCCUACUGGGAUUUUGAUUGAAAUUUCAAUGAAUUUGUAGACAGUUUAGAAGAGUGGCUGUCUCAUCAGUACUUGAUAUUUGAAUCAGUGAGACACCGAACAACUUUGAUUAAGUCUUUGUUAAUUUCUUUUAGUAAUAUAAUCGUUAAUAGUUUGUUAAGUUUAUCGUAUGUAUUUUGAGAUCCUUUGAGGCUGUGGAGAAUAGUAUUAUUAUUUCUAUUUUCCUUCUUUUGUUC